RNAcentral lists this ribosomal RNA (301 nucleotides) under uncultured bacterium. Its description in RNAcentral is "partial 16S ribosomal RNA". It matches the Rfam family "Bacterial small subunit ribosomal RNA", at positions 509 to 807 of the family's 1533-position model. The record is from RNAcentral.
CAGUAGCCGCGGUAAUACGUAGAGUGCGAGCGUUAAUCGGAAUUACUGGGCGUAAAGCGUGCGCAGGCGGUUUUGUAAGACAGGCGUGAAAUCCCCGGGCUCAACCUGGGAAUGGCGCUUGUGACUGCAAAGCUAGAGUGCGGCAGAGGGGGAUGGAAUUCCGCGUGUAGCAGUGAAGUGCGUAGAUAUGCGGAGGAACACCGAUGGCGAAGGCAAUCCCCUGGGCCUGCACUGACGCUCAUGCACGAAAGCGUGGGGAGCAAACAGGAUUAGAUACCCCUGUAGUCCCUGUCUCUUAUAC